RNAcentral lists this unclassified non-coding RNA (1757 nucleotides) under Hevea brasiliensis (rubber tree). Lineage: Eukaryota; Viridiplantae; Streptophyta; Magnoliopsida; Malpighiales; Euphorbiaceae. The record is from RNAcentral.
AAAUAAACAGAAGUUGGUUCACUUUGGCCAAAAAUUACAGGUCUAAAAUAGACAAGCAAGUUGCUAUAUAAUACAAACAUCAUCUUCGUAAUUGUGGUGAUCAAGGCUACAAACUGAGGUUCAUUAACCAUAUCAGAUGAAAAACAUAAUUAGAGUGUUUUGUCCUCCUGCCCAUUUCAUCUAGCCUGAUUUACACAGUCUUUUCCUUUGCUGGUGCAACCUUGGCAGCAGUAGAGCGUUCUGACUUUGAGAAAUUAAUCAAAAUUUGCAUGAGCACUGUAAUAAUAGCCAUGAGAGCAGCUGAUAUUGCCACACCCUUCCAUGACGACAACAAUGCAGUUGCUUGUAAAAAUUUUAUGGUUCCUAAGAUAAGAAUGCAUGACCAAGAUGCGACUACCACAAGGGAUUUGAUUGGGCGGCCAAUGUCUUGCAGCUUUUCUUCUCCAAAAGUGUCUUCAGCAAUAUGUUUGUCCAAUAACUUAUCCUUGGCCACAAAGAUAUCUCUACACCAUUGGGCAAUGGCAUCAUCAUUUUCAGGCAGAUCCUUCAUCUCAUGCCGCUUGAGGUGCACAUGCACCACAGAAGGUUGCCCCUUGAAGAGUCUCAGCAUUGUAGGUGCAGGUGAACUUUUGGGGAUGCAUAUUGUUGCAUCAUAAAUGGCUGGAACAAAUGAGCGCAUAUGACUUACUGCAGUAACAAAACCCUUAGUGCGAGGAAUCAAUACAUUCCUUGGAACAGGUAACUCAGCUGAAGCAGCAUAUUCUUGAGCAGCCAAAAGCUUUGCUUGUGUAAAGCGUGUGCCUUCAACAAAAAGUGCCAACCAGAAUGGCAAAGGGUAAUCGCUUAGCCGUUGAAGACCUGACUUCAACGUUCUUUCAUCCUUGGCCCAGCUUCUUUCAAGGAAAAGAUACUCAGAGAACCACAUGGACCAACCAAUUACUGGGAGGAGUUUUGAUGACUUCUUCAUUACAGCUAAUGAGCUGCCAAGGCAACCAGAUCUCUGAGCCAAGAUCCAACCAACAAGCCAAUCUAUGUCACUUCUAUGAUUGGCGAUGACAAGAGCAUGUUCUUUACCCAUAAGAUUAAAUGUUUCUGGGUCGGCGUACACUUUAAUCUUUACACCUGCCCACCAAUCAACUAUCCACACAAGUUCCAGCCAUAAGAGCUCUGCAACGAUCCUAUUAAUCCUCCUGUAUGUGCUCUUCGAAAUUGGUCGUACAAGGACAAAGCAAGUAGCCUGAAUUAGAUUGAUAACAAGACCCGAAAUGAAGAAGAGGACGCCCAACGGAACGAUAACAGCUGCAGCUGCAAUCGCCAUAGACAAAUACUCCCAAAAAGCAACCCCACAAGAAAAGUAAUCUUAUUCUGAAAGAAUAAAAUUUCAGGUCUAAACAGAUUUGCUUUACGAGAACAGUGUCCUCUCAACUUCGAUCGCAAUGAAAACAGACGAAUAAGAGGGCUAUUUAUAGGGUUCGAAAUUUUUGAGAAAAUACAACCUAAUCAAUGUGGGAUUUGUCAGAUUUUUCAUACCAAGAUCAAACGGAUUUUUGAAAGGGAUUCGGGAAAUUGCAGGCCGUGGCUUGAUUCUCGAAGGUUCUGGAACGGCUACAGGUAUAUGGCUGGUGAACUGAACGAAUGAGGGGGAAGACGGGCUGAGCGUCGUCGUUUGAAAUGGAUUCUGUUCUUGCUGGUGGAGUUUACGAGGAAGAAGAGAGAGUUGAGAAAGGGACGCAUCUGGGGCCUUUCGUGAGUUAAGA